GAUGAACGCUGGCGGCGUGCCUAAUACAUGCAAGUCGAGCGAAUGGAUUAAGAGCUUGCUCUUAUGAAGUUAGCGGCGGACGGGUGAGUAACACGUGGGUAACCUGCCCAUAAGACUGGGAUAACUCCGGGAAACCGGGGCUAAUAUCGGAUAACAUUUUGAACCGCAUGGUUCGAAAUUGAAAGGCGGCUUCGGCUGUCACUUAUGGAUGGACCCGCGUCGCAUUAGCUAGUUGGUGAGGUAACGGCUCACCAAGGCAACGAUGCGUAGCCGACCUGAGAGGGUGAGCGGCCACACUGGGACUGAGACACGGCCCAGACUCCUACGGGAGGCAGCAGUAGGGAAUCUUCCGCAAUGGACGAAAGUCUGACGGAGCAACGCCGCGUGAGUGAUGAAGGCUUUCGGGUCGUAAAACUCUGUUGUUAGGGAAGAACAAGUGCUAGUUGAAUAAGCUGGCACCUUGACGGUACCUAACCAGAGAGCCACGGCUAACUACGUGCCAGCCGCCGCCGUAA
This 515-nucleotide ribosomal RNA is filed under the name uncultured bacterium. Its description in RNAcentral is "partial 16S ribosomal RNA". It matches the Rfam family "Bacterial small subunit ribosomal RNA", at positions 28 to 523 of the family's 1533-position model. The record is from RNAcentral.